GUAUUGUAUCAACAUGGAUGAGACAGUUGGAUUUUUGUAAUUCAUUUCACAUUUAAGAGUUUUCUUUAUUCUGAUUGGUUGAGCAAGUAAUCUGUAAGCCUCUUAUAGUGAAAAUUAAUCGAGAUUGAGAUCGCAUCGUUGGUUGGUUGAAAAAAAACAGACACAUACACAAGACGUUGGAGGCGUAUCGUUUUCCAUGUAGAUUGGAUGAAGCAAUUGAAUAAAACUUAAAACGACAAGUUUGCAAUUUUGUGUAAAAUCAAAGGAUUGCGUUUGUUCUAAAAUUGUUGUAAGGAAACAGAGGAUUAAAAUCAUCGUUACCGGUAAUUUAAUCUACCAGUGAAAUUCUACACGUCAUAAUCUACCCGUACCAAUAGCAGUAUUCGGCCGGUAUCAGAAGAUAGUAGCCUUAGCUUCCAGUUGACCGAUUUCUUCAAAAAUAGACUUUGCCUCCAGGUCAUUUUUGAGACCUAGUAAAAACUUCCCUACACAGAUCUUGAAGACGGUAAGAUAACCAAGAAAGUUCAGCAGAGUCCAGCAUCAACGAGAAUAUUGACAAAACAAAACAUACAGCAAUUGAAACAACAGCGAUUUUGAACUAUAAAAAAAGAACAGCGAAUGUUUAAAAUGACGACGAUCAUACGUGUCACCAGAUAGCCAUAACUUACAACUAACGGUUUCUCAUAUAAUACAGCAACGAUUCCUAACGCAGCACUAAGCAUCAGCUAUAAUAAAACAACACCAGAUCAUUAUUAAAA
Long non-coding RNA from Xenia sp. Carnegie-2017, 758 nucleotides. RefSeq lists it as uncharacterized. The transcript is spliced from 2 exons. The record is from RefSeq and is a predicted model, not a curated record. Lineage: Eukaryota; Metazoa; Cnidaria; Anthozoa; Malacalcyonacea; Xeniidae.